RNAcentral lists this ribosomal RNA (429 nucleotides) under bacterium. RNAcentral's name for it is "partial 16S ribosomal RNA". It matches the Rfam family "Bacterial small subunit ribosomal RNA", at positions 355 to 776 of the family's 1533-position model. RNAcentral also lists the same sequence under 1 other name. The record is from RNAcentral.
UAGGGAAUCUUCCGCAAUGGGCGAAAGCCUGACGGAGCAACGCCGCGUGAGUGAUGAAGGUCUUCGGAUCGUAAAACUCUGUUAUCAGGGAAGAACAAACGUGUAAGUAACUGUGCACGUCUUGACGGUACCUGAUCAGAAAGCCACGGCUAACUACGUGCCAGCAGCCGCGGUAAUACGUAGGUGGCAAGCGUUAUCCGGAAUUAUUGGGCGUAAAGCGCGCGUAGGCGGUUUUUUAAGUCUGAUGUGAAAGCCCACGGCUCAACCGUGGAGGGUCAUUGGAAACUGGAAAACUUGAGUGCAGAAGAGGAAAGUGGAAUUCCAUGUGUAGCGGUGAAAUGCGCAGAGAUAUGGAGGAACACCAGUGGCGAAGGCGACUUUCUGGUCUGUAACUGACGCUGAUGUGCGAAAGCGUGGGGAUCAAACAGG